UGGGGAAUUUUCCGCAAUGGGCGAAAGCCUGACGGAGCAAGACCGCGUGAGGGAGGAAGGCCUACUGGUUGUAAACCUCUUUUGAUAGGGAAGAACACAAUGACGGUACCUAUCGAAUCAGCCUCGGCUAACUCCGUGCCAGCAGCCGCGGUAAUACGGAGGAGGCAAGCGUUAUCCGGAAUUAUUGGGCGUAAAGCGUCCGUAGGUGGUUUAUCAAGUCAGUUGUUAAAGAGUGGAGCUUAACUCCAUAAGGGCAAUUGAAACUGAUAGGCUAGAGUGCGAUAGGGGCAAGGGGAAUUCCCAGUGUAGCGGUGAAAUGCGUAGAUAUUGGGAAGAACAUCGGUGGCGAAAGCGCCUUGCUGGGUCUGCACUGACACUGAGGGACGAAAGCUAGGGGAGCGAAAGGGAUUAGAUACCCCUGUAGUCA
RNAcentral lists this ribosomal RNA (427 nucleotides) under uncultured Oscillatoriales cyanobacterium. RNAcentral's name for it is "bacterial SSU rRNA". It matches the Rfam family "Bacterial small subunit ribosomal RNA", at positions 355 to 796 of the family's 1533-position model. Lineage: Bacteria; Bacillati; Cyanobacteriota; Cyanophyceae; Oscillatoriales. The record is from RNAcentral.